This 468-nucleotide ribosomal RNA is filed under the name uncultured bacterium. Its description in RNAcentral is "partial 16S ribosomal RNA". It matches the Rfam family "Bacterial small subunit ribosomal RNA", at positions 28 to 507 of the family's 1533-position model. The record is from RNAcentral.
GACGAACGCUGGCGGCGUGCUUAACACAUGCAAGUCGAACGGAAAGGCCCUGCUUUUGUGGGGUGCUCGAGUGGCGAACGGGUGAGUAACACGUGAGUAACCUGCCCUUGACUUUGGGAUAACUUCAGGAAACUGGGGCUAAUACCGGAUAGGAGCUCCUGCUGCAUGGUGGGGGUUGGAAAGUUUCGGCGGUUGGGGAUGGACUCGCGGCUUAUCAGCUUGUUGGUGGGGUAGUGGCUUACCAAGGCUUUGACGGGUAGCCGGCCUGAGAGGGUGACCGGCCACAUUGGGACUGAGAUACGGCCCAGACUCCUAAGGGAGGCAGCAGUGGGGAAUAUUGCCCAAUGGGCGGAAGCCUGAUGCAGCAACGCCGCGUGCGGGAUGACGGCCUUCGGGUUGUAAACCGCUUUCGCCUGUGACGAAGCGUGAGUGACGGUAAUGGGUAAAGAAGCACCGGCUAACUACGUG